AUUGAACGCUGGCGGCAGGCCUAACACAUGCAAGUCGAGCGAGCGGCGGACGGGUGAGUAAUGUAUGGGGAUCUGCCCGAUAGAGGGGGAUAACUACUGGAAAAGGUGGCUAAUACCCCAUACUAUAGGAUGAACCCAUAUGGGAUUAGCUAGUAGGUGGUGUAAUGGCUCACAUAGGCGACGAUCUCUAGCUGGUCUGAGAGGAUGACCAGCCACACUGGCACUGAGAAACGACCCAGACUCAUACGGUAGUCAGCAGUGGGGAAUAUUGCACAAUGGGCGCAAGCCGGAUGCAGCCAUGCCGCGUGUAUGAAGAAGGCCUUAGGUUUUUAAAGUACUUUCAGCGGGGAGGCGUGACCCGCAGAAGAAGCACCGGCUAACUCCGUGCCAGCAGCCGCGGUAAUUC
RNAcentral lists this ribosomal RNA (406 nucleotides) under uncultured bacterium. RNAcentral describes it as "partial 16S ribosomal RNA". It matches the Rfam family "Bacterial small subunit ribosomal RNA", at positions 30 to 526 of the family's 1533-position model. The record is from RNAcentral.